GAUGAACGCUGGCGGCGUGCCUAAUACAUGCAAGUCGAACGCUGGAACUCUAGCUUGCUAGCUUGAAGGAGUGGCGAACGGGUGAGUAAUACAUAAGCAACCUACCCACGAAGACUGGGAUAAUCUCUGGAAACGGGGACUAAUACCGGAUAGGUAAUCGGAAGGCAUCUUCUGAUUAUUAAAGGUUAAAAACACUGGUGGAUGGGCUUAUGGCGCAUUAGUUAGUUGGUGAGGUAACGGCCCACCAAGACGAUGAUGCGUAGCCGGCCUGAGAGGGUGAACGGCCACAUUGGGACUGAGACACGGCCCAGACUCCUACGGGAGGCAGCAGUAGGGAAUUUUCGGCAAUGGGGGAAACCCUGACCGAGCAACGCCGCGUGAGUGAUGACGGCCUUCGGGUUGUAAAGCUCUGUUGUAAGGGAAGAACGGUAGAUAGAGAAUAUCUAAAUGACGGUACCUUACCAGAAAGCCACGGCUAACUACGUG
This 486-nucleotide ribosomal RNA is filed under the name uncultured bacterium. RNAcentral's name for it is "partial 16S ribosomal RNA". It matches the Rfam family "Bacterial small subunit ribosomal RNA", at positions 28 to 507 of the family's 1533-position model. The record is from RNAcentral.